CUUAAAUUGAAGAGUUUGAUCAUGGCUCAGAUUGAACGCUGGCGGCAGGCCUAACACAUGCAAGUCGAGCGGAAACGAGUUAUCAGAACCUUCGGGGAACGAUAA
This 105-nucleotide ribosomal RNA is filed under the name Vibrio parahaemolyticus. RNAcentral describes it as "partial 16S ribosomal RNA". The record is from RNAcentral. Lineage: Bacteria; Pseudomonadati; Pseudomonadota; Gammaproteobacteria; Vibrionales; Vibrionaceae.